Molecule: long non-coding RNA, 565 nt
Organism: Melospiza melodia melodia
Lineage: Eukaryota; Metazoa; Chordata; Aves; Passeriformes; Passerellidae
Exons: 3
Source: RefSeq, a predicted model, not a curated record
AGAAUCUUCAGAAAGUCCCUUUCAGAAAGCUUGUGAUGAGAUGAUGUGAGGGAUGUGGCAGUCUUACAUUGGAAGCAAGAUAAUUGAUUUGAGUUUGUUCUGCCACUGCAGCUGGUUACAACAAGCAGCCUGCCCUCUGCAAGAGCAGAGCAAGAGGAGAGCAGGUCUGAGCACUUCUGCUGGGGUGAAGUUCUCUGGCUUUCAGUGUUUGCACAGUGAAUUCAGUGUCAACAUACACACAGACAGCAGAUCUCAGAGGAGUCAGAGGCACAUUCCCAGAAGAGUAACAAUCCAAAGUUUUCACUUCCAGUGAAAUGCUGUCUGAGAAGUGCUGGAAAAAGAAAGUGUGGGCAGGAAGAGAGGGAGACACCACAUCUUCUUGAGGGACACCAUGACUUACCAACUUUGUGUCAAAGCUUUUCUUUCAGCUAAGGAGUCAGCAAGCAGAAGAGGAGCAGUGAAUUCCAACAUCCAGCAACAUGUACAAGGUACUGAUAAAGGCUCUGAAAAUCAGUAUUCACACCUCAGGAGAGUAGAAAUAACUGAAAGGAGUUUUUUCACUUGA